This 611-nucleotide ribosomal RNA is filed under the name uncultured bacterium. RNAcentral describes it as "bacterial SSU rRNA". It matches the Rfam family "Bacterial small subunit ribosomal RNA", at positions 338 to 954 of the family's 1533-position model. The record is from RNAcentral.
CCUACGGGAGGCAGCAGUAAGGAAUAUUGGUCAAUGGGCGCAAGCCUGAACCAGCCAUGCCGCGUGCAGGAUGACGGCCCUCUGGGUUGUAAACUGCUUUUAUACGGGAAGAACAGCAUCUACGUGUAGGUGUUUGACGGUACUGUAAGAAUAAGGACCGGCUAACUUCGUGCCAGCAGCCGCGGUAAUACGAAGGGUCCAAGCGUUAUCCGGAUUUAUUGGGUUUAAAGGGUGCGUAGGCGGCUUUUUAAGUCAGUGGUGAAAGCCUGAUGCUCAACAUCAGAACUGCCAUUGAUACUGAAGAGCUUGAGUACAGUUGAGGUUGGCGGAAUGUGUCAUGUAGCGGUGAAAUGCUUAGAUAUGACACAGAACACCGAUUGCGAAGGCAGCUAGCUAAGCUGUUACUGACGCUGAUGCACGAAAGCGUGGGGAGCAAACAGGAUUAGAUACCCUGGUAGUCCACGCCCUAAACGUUGAUAACUCGUUGUUAGCGAUAUACUGUUAGCGACCAAGCGAAAGCAUUAAGUUAUCCACCUGGGAAGUACGGUCGCAAGAUUGAAACUCAAAUGAGUAGAGNGNGAGAGNGCGACGGACGACGACGAGGGAGGAGG